UUAGUUGCCAUCAUUCAGGUUGGGCACUCGUAACGGGGACUGCCGGUGAUAAGCCGAGAGGAAGGUGGGGAUGACGUCAAGUCCUCAUGGCCCUUACGGGCGUGGGCUACACACGUGCUACAAUGGUGGUGACAGUGGGCAGCGAGACCGCGAGGUCGAGCUAAUCUCCAAAAGCCAUCUCAGUUCGGAUUGCACUCUGCAACUCGAGUGCAUGAAGUUGGAAUCGCUAGUAAUCGCGGAUCAGCAUGCCGCGGUGAAUACGUUCCCGGGCCUU
This 274-nucleotide ribosomal RNA is filed under the name uncultured Mesorhizobium sp. RNAcentral describes it as "partial 16S ribosomal RNA". It matches the Rfam family "Bacterial small subunit ribosomal RNA", at positions 1111 to 1382 of the family's 1533-position model. The record is from RNAcentral. Lineage: Bacteria; Pseudomonadati; Pseudomonadota; Alphaproteobacteria; Hyphomicrobiales; Phyllobacteriaceae.